AAAUCACUGAAUACCAGUCGUCUCAUGUCAUGUGUUGAAAACGACUUAGCAUGGCGGAAGUACUGCAUGCAUAUAGUCGUGAGAAUAAAACUGCAAUAAAAACGAAAGUUGUGGUGUAUAAAUUUUUUUUCAUUUAAAUUUAAAAUAAUAUUUGAAUUUAUUUAAAUUUUUAAUUUGUUAUGUAAAAAAAUUUCAAACGUGGAAUUAUCUAAAAUAAAGUGCUGUGCGUGUGAUCAGUAAAAAUUACAAUUAUUGGUAAUACGUAAUUAACCCUAUUUUUCAUGAAAUAGUAUUCGUUUUUUAUCAUUACGAAUGAACGUGAUUAAUUAUUCAUGGUUCAAGAAUGGCUAGCGAUUUGUCAAGUGAGUGUACAGAAGCAAUUGGUGUGUUAGACGAAAAAGAAGAAGGUGAAAUAUCUUUGGAAGAUGUAAGUUCUUCCGAAGAAGGACAUGUAAAUUAUGGAUAUGGUUCUAAAACAUCUCAAUGUUCGAACUGUUUGUCAACUCAACACAAUGCAACGUGGUGUAGUGUUCCGGCCAAGUUCUACCCUCCUAAAGGCACUAAUAGAAGAGAAGUUGACCUUAUUCCACAAGAUGCAGUCCAGGGAAAAGAAAAUCGUCAUCAAAUAAAAGAAUCAGGAUGUAUUGGAACAAAACAUACAACUUCUACACUUCAAGAAAAAAAUGAUGAUCUUGUGCCUAUUUCAAGCGAUAGUGAUAUGGAAAUUGUUGGUCUUGCCGAUAAUUCUAAACAAAUUACAAUACAUUCCUCUGCAAAAAGUAGAAUGAAGAAGAAAAGAAAAAAGAAAAGAAAUCAUGUAUCUUCAACAUCAUUAGAUGAUUUAGUUUCUUCAUCUACUGUGGAUAUAUCUAUGAAAGAAUGUAUUAAUACAAUAAAACAUGAUGUGACCAAAAAUAGUUCUAGAUCGCAUCAUAGAGAAGUGAGUCCUAUUCAUAGAAGUAAUAGAUCUAAAGUAAUUCCAAGAUCACCUCCAAAAAGACAUAGAUCUCUUAUAAAACCAAGAUCUCCUUUUAGAAGAUCAAAAUCUCCAAUUAUUCGUACUAGAUCACCAACAAUAAGGAGAUCUCCAAGGAGACUUAAAUCUCCUAAAAGAUCACCAUACAAAUCUUCAACAAAAACAAUGCCUAGAAAAACAUCACAUAUUGAAUUAAUGUCAUCUCGUAAUUAUGUUGAUACACAUAAAUUAUUGAAAAAAGUCAGACAAUUAGGUUCAAUAGGAACUCAUUCAUUAGAAGAAACUUUGAACAAAAAUAAAGAACAUGCAUCUUCAUUAAAAGAAAAAUUAACAAAUAUGAUGAAAGGUGUUUCUGACAAUAAUAUUGAUUUAACAAAUUCUUCAAAAGAAAAAACUAUUAUAAAUGUGAAUAAGAAAGAAUCUAAUGAUAUCGAUGAUGAAGAAGAUUUAGCAUUAUUAAGACAGAAAGCUCUUGAGACAAAACAAAAUAAAUCAAAUAAACAGAAUGAUGUAUCAAAGACUGAAACUUCAAAACAAGUGAGUGCAAAUAUAAAUGAUGAUCAAGAUGAAGAAGAUUUAGAAUUAAGAAUGAUUGCACUUCGUUCUGCUGUAUUAAAAAAACAUCAAAAUAGAAUCCAAAAAGGUAUAAAAUCAGGAAAAUAUAAGAAAUCUGAUACAUUUCGCAGUGAAAGCCCAUUUACUCAAAGCUUUUUAGAUAGUAUUCCUAUACCUGGAGAAGAAUUAUUAAAUUUUGCAUCACCACCGCAUAGUCCUCUUCCUAUAAAUGAAAAUAAUCAUACUGAAGAUAUGGAAUUAGAUACAGAUGUUGAAAGAGAAAAAGAAAAAUUACCAUAUUCUCCAACAGAUAAAAUUACUGCCAAUAUACCUAUGGAUACAGAAUUGCUAGGUAUUCAACCAUCUGAUGUAUCUUUCAUUACUGUUAAUGAAGCAAAUAAUAGUCCAAAUUUUAAUACAUCCGUGACAUCUAGUCAAGAUGAUCAAAAAUCUUAUCAAGGAAAAAUCAUUGAAAAUCAAAGUUAUUUACCAAAUAUUGUAUAUUAUACACCAUCACAAAAUUCAUUGUGUGUUACAAAUACAAAUGUGCAAUAUUUACCAACUGAUUUAUCAGAAACUUCUAAAUCAAAUUUUAUGAAAAUACAUAAUUCUCAUUUAAAUAUACCUCCUUAUGAAAAUAUAUGUAUUGCUAAAAAUAAUAAUAAUACUUCUGAAGCUUUAGAUAUUAAUUCAAGUCAAGAAAUGCCUUAUUCUCCAACUGAUACUCCUAUAUACGAUCCUGAUUUAUCACAUGCUCUUCCACAAACUCUUGGUGCAUUAACUAUCUCAAAUUCUUCCUUAGUUUCUUUAGAAUCAUAUAUUUCUAAUACACAUGGAAGUAAUGAGCAACAUAAUCAUAUAUCAACAGAUCAACAUAUACAAUCUACAAAAGACAUAAGUAAUGAAAAUGAACAUUUAAAUAAAGCAGAAGUACUUUCAUUAGAGCCAGUUACUAAUUUUACUACAACUUCUCUUAUGGAAACUUUAUCGCCAAGUAGUUCAAUGAUAACAAUUGAUGAUCUUCCUGAAAUUGAAGCAGAUGUACAUUUAACUGAUACUGUUAGAAACUUAAAAACAGAAUACAUUCCAAAUGAUUUAUCAAAUAAUAUUAAUGAGAAAAUAGUAGAACCACUUUAUAUGAAGGGCUUACCAGAUGUGACUAAAGAUACAAAUAAAAUACCAACAUUAAUUAAUAGAACACUUGUUCCAGCACCAAUUUUGAAAACAAAUAAACAGUUGCAAUUACCUUUACCUACUAAAAAGAAUAUAACUCAACAAGAACCAACAUUCAAAAGUGCAGAAAUGCAACCAGUUGUCCUUCAUGAAGAAACUAGUAUAAAGACAAAUGCUUCUUUUAAACCAAUAAAAUUAACAUCUUUUCUACAAAAAUCUCAUUCUGUUUUAGCAAUACCAACUGCAUUUCAUGAUUCUUUACAUGAAGAUUUAAUUAAUGAAACAUCUACAGAUAAAUCAUCUCAUACUUCAUUGAUAGAAAGUAAUCCCAAUGUAACUUUGGUACAAAAUAAUACAACAAAUAUAACAAAUUCAGAAAAAACUAGUGAUAUUAAAAGCCCAACACCAAAAAAAAAGAAACUUUCAAAAAAAGGAUUAAAAAAAAGAAGUAUAGGUCCAGUCUUGAUUGCAAAAAAUCAUAAUACAACAUGUAUAAAAAGUGAUAAUGUAAAUACUGUAGAUAAACAUGAGUCACAGCAAGUUCUUUAUACAGAUGAUAAUCAAGAUCAAAAAGGAAUUCAAAUAGAAAUGGAUCAAAUAGAUAAUAUUGAUGUAUCUAUGUCAGAAACAUCCAAAAAUAUUAUUACAGAAAAAAAUAAUAUUUCUUCAGAAAAUAAUGAAAAAGAAAUACAAAAUAAUGAUAAUUCAAUGAAUGAUAUAUCAGAACAAAUAAAAAAUACAGAAGAUAGAAGACAAAGUCUUGAUGAAGAUGAAGAGGCGUUAAGAGCAAUUUUAUUAGCUUCUUUGCCAAAACGAACAAAAAUUACUAACAAUUGUUCCAAUUCAGAUACAAUAUCUACUGCAUCUACUACAUUAAAUCAAGUACUUGUAAAUGAAACUGUAUCAAAUAUUGUAUUACCCACAAGUAACUUAUCAAUUCCACAUGUAAAUGGUUCAGAAAAUGAUAAAAAUCAAUCAAAUUCUGGAGAAAAAGUAAAUAAUAUCACACAAAAAGAUUUAUCUGUUGAUAAUAAUAAAACUUUAAAUAUAACAACUUUGGGAAGGAAAAGAUCAAUCAAUAUGACAAAAGGUCCACAGAGGAAACUUAUAAAAAGAAUUUCAAUUCCUGCAAGUACAAAAGUUGUAAAUAAUGCAAAAAAAUACCAAAAUACAAUGAUUCAAAAGAGAUUAAAUUUACAAAAAUCUACUCUUUAUAACAAACAAAAAGUGACAGAAAAUAAAAUUUUACCUAAAGUACAAUCUAAUGAUAGCAAAUGGUCUGCUAAUUCAAAGGCAUUGUCUGAUACACAACGAAUUGUUAUAAAUUUAGAGUCUGAUACAGAAAGUGAUUCUGAAUCUGAACGACAAAAAAAUAUAACUGUUUCUUCAGUUCAUUCUGUUAUAACAGAAAAACAUCAACCAACAAUAAACUCUACAACAGAAUUUGAAAAAAAUUUAGAUCAAUUUUUACGUGCAGUACGAAGAAAACAAGAAUCUAUGGCAGCUGCAAGACCAACUUCAAUAUCACAAACACCUAAAAAAGAUACAGUAUUAACAACAAAAUCAGAAAAAUUAAAUUCAUCCAACAAUCUUCAUACACCAUUGGCUGUUCGUCAUUUGCCCGUAUCUCAGCAAGAAGAAUAUCGUCGUUUAAAACAACAAAUUUUAGAACGUGAAAAAUUAAAAUUGCAUAGAACUAUGGAAAAUAAUAGCUUAAUAAAAAAUAAAAAUAUGGAAAUAUUUUCAAAAUCAACACUAUCCAAUAGUCAAAAUAAAGAAUUAUGUGUAAAAAUAAAUCAAAUAUCUACGAAAAGUCAAAAUAUAAAUACACAACAAUUAAAUAAAGAAAAUUGUUCUAAAAAUUUAAUAGAUUCGAUAAAAAAUACAGCUAUAUCAACAAAUAAUAAUAUUCAAACAUGUAAUAAAACGUGUAAUGUUGUUGAUAAACGAGAAAAUACAAAUCCAAAUCAAACAAAAUUGUUAUCAAGAUCAACAACAAAUAGUGAUGUUUGUGUAUCCAUUGAGAACAAUCCAAAUAAUAUUAGAAACAAAAUAGUUGAAAAUUCUGUACAACCGACAAGUACAUUGCGAAAAAUUUUUGAAAUGCCUACGCAGAAAAUUGAAAUGAAAACAAGAAUUUCACCUGGUCUAAAAAUUUUAUCUAUAGAUGAAGUAAAUCAGAAAUAUGUACAAAUUCAAGUAAAAAAUGAUACAAAUGAACGAGUAGUAACAAUAAAUGACAAAGUGUCCUUAAAUAAUAAAGCAGUAAUUAAUCGAAAUGAAAAUAUUUCUGGAUAUAAAGAUAAUAAUAAUAAAAAUACAUGUGAUUAUGAUAUAAAUAACAUGCUUUCUACGAAUAAUAUUAUAUCUAAUGAUAAUAAUGCAGUGGACUCAGAUGCAUCAACAGUUAUCUUGUCAGAAAGACAUGAAGAUAGGAAAGAAAAUCUUGAUACAUCUGAAUCUACAAUUUCACUUUCACAACAUCAAGAGGAUUUAUCAUCGAUUUCAAAUGCGGAAAAUAAUCAUUUUCUAUUUAUUCAAAAUAAUAUAUCAUCAAAGGAUACAAAAAGUAUAGAAGAAAAUUGGGACGAAAUUAAAAAAGAUGUUAAAACAGAAUUAAAUACUCUUAUUAAUCUAUCACGUGUAGAACAAGAACAACGUUUAAUAGAUACUGAAGAAAAAUUAGUUAUGAAACGCUAUACAAUCUUAGAUGAUUUAGCGGAAAUGUCAAGUAAUCUUCGUCAAUGGCACAUGGAACGAGAUUUACAAACAAAUUUAGUUGCUGAAGUAAAAAAACUUAGAGAACAGUUAAAAGUUGCUGAAGAAAGAUUACAAAUACAACGUAAUCGUAUUAAUAAUAUAGGUCCAAGAGUAGUAGCAGCACAUGAAAAAGUUAACGCAGGCCGGCAAGAAUGCUUUAAACUUGCAACUAUUUGUUCAACUUUAGGAAAUAGGAUUAUGGGAAAAGAAUACAAAGUACCUGAAGCUGGAGCACAACUUUUAGAUAAUAGAUUAAAAGAAGUAGCUAAUCAUACGCGACAACUUUCUCGAAAAAAAGUACCAUCUAUUGAUAUUUCUGAUAUGUACGAAUUAUCAAGAUUAGAAGAAGAAACUGUAUCUACUACAUGUACAGAAAUUUCACAAAAUAAAUCUCAGUUAUUAGAAGAAUGCAAUAUUGAUACAAGUAUUUUAAAUGAAGAUCAAUCAAGAAUAAAAUCAAGCGAUAUUGAAAAAAAUAUACAAAUAGAAGACAUUACAAUAAAUAAAAAUAAAACAGAUAAGGAAACAGAUAUAAUAUUAAAUAUUUCCACUCUAAGUUUUGAUGAAAGAUGUAUAUCUAAACAAAAUGAUAUUGAGCAAAAAAUAUUUGAAGAAACAAAUUUAAGUAAUAGUAAUACAACUACUACGAAUAUUCUUAAGCCAGAAGAUAUUCAAAAACUGGAUAGUAAUAUGUCAGAAAAUAAUAUAAUAAGGCCUAUAAUUUUAAAACCUGGUACUAAGAAAAGGAAUUCUACAAAAUUUGAAGGAGAGCUUCAGAGAAAAAAAACACUUUUAUCUUAUGAAUCAAUAUUAACACACUUUAAAAUACCAAGGAACACGAAUCCCAAUGGUGUCCUUUGUCCAUACGAACUAAUGGGAACAUGCAGUGAUGGAGAUUGUCAAUUUAUUCAUCAAACAGAGAGUCAAACCAAGUAGCAUUUAGCUACCAAAGUGGCAUUAUUAAGUUAUACGUAAGGUGGUUUUAAUCUUUAAACAUAAGAUUCACACAGGACAUUAUGAAAUAAAAAUCAAGAUUUUUAAAGUACUACUAUUUCUGAGGAAGCAAUAUCCCAUAUAGAUGGAAGAAUCCUGUUAACAAGCAGAAGUAACACCUGAAGAUGGUAAGUUAUCUUCAUCACGGCAGGAGUUUGUGCACAAAUUAAAGUAGCCAUUUUAUUACAUAAAAAUUAUAAAUUUUAAAAAAAGCAAAAUUUUUAAUACUGUGCUAUUUCAAGCUUCUAUUCUAAUGAAAGUUUAAAGAAGAUUUGCUGCAAGUGUUUAUUUUUUACAUAUGUAAAAAGUGUCAUAUAAACUGCAAAUAAUUAGUGUGAUUAAUGUAAAAAAAAAAAAAAAAAAAAAAAAAAAAAAAAAAAAAAAAAAAAAAAAAAA
Apis mellifera (honey bee) is the source of this 6853-nucleotide RNA transcript. RefSeq lists it as uncharacterized. The record is from RefSeq and is a predicted model, not a curated record. Lineage: Eukaryota; Metazoa; Arthropoda; Insecta; Hymenoptera; Apidae. The transcript has 7 exons.